Molecule: ribosomal RNA, 753 nt
Filed under: uncultured Candidatus Poseidoniales archaeon
Lineage: Archaea; Methanobacteriati; Thermoplasmatota; Candidatus Poseidoniia; Candidatus Poseidoniales
Description: bacterial SSU rRNA
Rfam family: Archaeal small subunit ribosomal RNA
Source: RNAcentral
GGGUAACCUAACCUAUGCAGGGGAAUAACCUCGGGAAACUGAGUAUAAUGCCCCAUAAUCCACUACGCCUGGAACGGUGAGUGGAUCAAAGCUCAGGCGGCAUAGGAUGGGCCUGCGGCGUAUCAGGUCGUAGGGGGUGUAAAGUACCCUCUAGCCAUCUACGCGUACGGGUGUUGGGGGACAUAGCCCGGAGAUGGAUCCUGAGACACGAAUCCAGACCCUACGGGGUGCAGCAGGCGCGAAAACUUGACAAUGCGAGCAAUCGUGAUCAGGGAACUCCAAGUGGCUGGGGUAAGACCCAGUCUUUUCAUAACUCUUCAAAGGUUGUAGAAUAAGGGGUGGGUAAGGACGGUGCCAGCCGCCGCGGUAAUACCGGCGCCUCAAGUGGUAGUCGCUUUUAUUGGGCCUAAAACGUCCGUAGCCGGUUUGGUACAUUCGUGGGUAAAUCAACUCGCUCAACGAGUUGAAUUCUGCGAGGACGGCCAGACUUGGGACCGGGAGAGGUGUGGGGUACUCUCAGGGUAGGGGUAAAAUCCUGUCAUCCUGAGAGGACCACCUGUUGCGAAGGCGCCACACUAGAACGGAUCCGACGGUCAGGGGCGAAGCCUAGGGGCACGAACCGGAUUAGAUACCCGGGUAGUCCUAGGUGUAAACGCUGUGGACUUGAUGUUAGAGAAGCUCCGAGCUUCUUCAGUGUCGAAGCGAAGGUGAUAAGUCCACUGCCUGGGAAGUACGGUCGCAAGGCUGAAACUU